RNAcentral lists this transfer RNA (56 nucleotides) under Anolis grahami. Its description in RNAcentral is "tRNA-Cys". Lineage: Eukaryota; Metazoa; Chordata; Lepidosauria; Squamata; Anolidae. The record is from RNAcentral.
AGCCCUGAAGUGAUCCACAUCAAAAUGCAAGUUUGAAAAAGAGCCCUAGANGGGCU